CCCGUUCGCCGAAAGACCAAGGGUUCCAGUCCAACGUUAAUCGGGGCUGGGUGAGUCGACCCCUAAGGCGAGGCCGAAAGGCGUAGUCGAUGGGAAAUUGGUUAAUAUUCCAAUACUUCUGUGUAAUGCGAUGAGAGGACGGAGAAGGUUAAGUCAGCCUGGCGUUGGUUGUCCAGGUGGAAGGAUGUAGGUAUGUAUCUUAGGCAAAUCCGGGGUACUCUAUACUGAGAUCCGAUAGCAAGCUGUACUUGUACAGUGAAGUGGCUGAUACCAUGCUUCCAGGAAAAGUCUCUAAGCUUCAGUUACACAGGAAUCGUACCCGAAACCGACACAGGUGGUCAG
RNAcentral lists this ribosomal RNA (342 nucleotides) under Escherichia coli. RNAcentral describes it as "partial 23S ribosomal RNA". It matches the Rfam family "Bacterial large subunit ribosomal RNA", at positions 1329 to 1670 of the family's 2925-position model. The record is from RNAcentral. Lineage: Bacteria; Pseudomonadati; Pseudomonadota; Gammaproteobacteria; Enterobacterales; Enterobacteriaceae.